RNAcentral lists this ribosomal RNA (497 nucleotides) under uncultured bacterium. RNAcentral's name for it is "partial 16S ribosomal RNA". It matches the Rfam family "Bacterial small subunit ribosomal RNA", at positions 28 to 507 of the family's 1533-position model. The record is from RNAcentral.
GAUGAACGCUGGCGGCGUGCCUAAUACAUGCAAGUCGAGCGAACGGACGAGAAGCUUGCUUCUCUGUUGUUAGCGGCGGACGGGUGAGUAACACGUGGAUAACCUACCUAUAAUUCUGGGAUAACUUCGGGAAACCGGAGCUAAUACCGGAUGAUAUUUUGAACCGCAUGGUUCAAAAGUGAAAGACGGUCUUGCUGUCACUUAUAGCUGGUUCCGCGCUGCAUUAGCUAGUUGGUAAGGUAACGGCUUACCAAGGCGACGAUGCAUAGCCGACCUGAGAGGGUGAUCGGCCACACUGGAACUGAGACACGGUCCAGACUCCUACGGGAGGCAGCAGUAGGGAAUCGUCCGCAAUGGGCGAAAGCCUGACGGAGCAACGCCGCGUGAGUGAUGAAGGUCUUCGGAUCGUAAAACUCUGUUAUUAGGGAAGAACAUAUGUGUAAGUAACUGUGCACAUCUUGACGGUACCUAAUCAGAAAGCCACGGCUAACUACGUG